AGUCGCUCUGCCAUUUCUAAAUUUGUUCUGGAGGAUGGAGGUGCUGUGCCUUGUAUCGUCCUGGUGCCAAUUUUAUUUAAGACUGCUGAUUGUAAGAAGUUUGGGGGAGUUUUCUUGACAUACUAGAGACGAGAUACAUCUGUAUCGUUUUCAGCUAAUAGCCGGAUUAUGGCUUUGUACGUAAUAUGGAAGCGCACAAGGACUUUUUGGAACUCGUGCCUUAAUCCAAGUACCGGAUCAAUGGUUUAUAUCGGUCAAGGUCGGCCAGGAUUGGUGUUAAUGGCUACCUGAAUUGACUUGAGAUGGGAAGUGUUAAUGACUGCUCCAAUCGAAACGGGACUUGUAAUGGAACACCUAAUACUACAAUACCAUCGCAGGUAACAUCUAUUGGAUCAGGAGAACGACGGACCUCACAUAUCUCGUGCAGGAGUAAAGUAAAGAUGAUCGUAUCAACCCGACCAGAAAGAUGGAACGACAAAGUUUGAAUCGUGAAUUGAAUGGCCCAGUGGGUUGAGGAUGCUCCGAUUCUGAGCUUAGAUGCCAUCUGUACAUGCAGAGGAUAACUCCGUCUGCGGUUCGCUGUAUUAGCGCAUUUUUAGUUAUUAGCACAAUAAAUGGUACUCGUUUAGUUCAAUAUUCGAACUCUGCUGCAUAACUGAAAAGUUUUUAUUUUCAUACAAAAGUGAUAUUCUAUGCAUGUAAAAUACGUAUUAUAGUCGUAAGUAUGUCUGAAGGCGUAUAGAGAAUAAAUACAUAUGUACAUGUAAAA
This is a long non-coding RNA of Hermetia illucens (black soldier fly), 769 nucleotides long. RefSeq lists it as uncharacterized. The record is from RefSeq and is a predicted model, not a curated record. Lineage: Eukaryota; Metazoa; Arthropoda; Insecta; Diptera; Stratiomyidae. The transcript is spliced from 4 exons.